RNAcentral lists this small nuclear RNA (106 nucleotides) under Oncorhynchus mykiss (rainbow trout). The record is from RNAcentral. Lineage: Eukaryota; Metazoa; Chordata; Actinopteri; Salmoniformes; Salmonidae.
GUGCUCGCUUUGGCAGCACAUAUACUAAAAUUGGAUCGAUACAGAGAAGAUUAGCAUGGCCCCUGCGAAAGGAUGACACGCAAUCCGUGAAGCGCUCCUUAUUUUC